This 121-nucleotide ribosomal RNA is filed under the name Chinchilla lanigera (long-tailed chinchilla). Lineage: Eukaryota; Metazoa; Chordata; Mammalia; Rodentia; Chinchillidae. The record is from RNAcentral.
GUCUACGGUCAUACCACCCUGAAUGUGCCUGAUCUCGUCUGAUCUCGUAAGCUAAGCAGGGUCGGGCCUGGUUAAUACUUGGAUGCGAGUCAUACUCCAGAGAAACCCCAUAAAAACGACA